AACAAUAACAAAAAGAAUUUAAUAUUGUUACUCAUUGUGUUAUAUUUAAAGUUUUCUAUAAUCAUGCCACCUCUAUUUAUUGAUUGAAGAUAGAAAGUUAGAUUAGGUCAAGUUAGCUUGUCUCGGGUGGAGUUUGGCCUAGCUUUUAAGUAGGUGGUUGAAUUUAAAAUGGGAAUGGUUGCAAGAGAGUGCAGACUGAGGAAGACAUAUAUUGCUCUCUAAUGGCGGGAACUAAGCAAGAGAAACCCAACACUCCACUUCUGCAUCGAUCAAUGCAAACACAAAAGAGUUCAAGAGUUGGACUUAAAUCCAUGCAAGCAAAUAAAACAAUCCCCAAAAAACAAAAGAAAGGACUUUGAAACCCAUCCCAUUUCUGAAAACUCGAGAUAAACUAACCCAGAAGGCCAAAUUAUCACUACAUGCGAGGGCAUUAAGCUAACCAAGAAAACAACUCCUGUCUAUAGGAUCUCAAUUCAACAGCAUCAUUCAAUUUUAUUGAUCUCAUCUGAAAGUAACAGCAACUAAAAACAAGAAAUGAAACUAAAGAGACUGAAAGAACAACCAAAUAAACACUAUCAAAUUCUACAAGGCAAAGACCAAGCAACUUGAAAAAUAAAACCCAUCAAGAGAAGUGAAAAACAUGGCCAAAAGUUUAUAACUUCAAGCAAAAUGACAGAAAACAAAGAGUAGUACUAAGAGAGAGAGGGCUUACUUGAAUAUAAUUUAGGUUAUUUUAUUUUAUUUUAUUUGGUAUCACUUGAAUUGCCCCAAAAAACUUGAGAUAAUUACCCAGAUUAUCUGUUCUCAGUUUUUUUAAAAAAAAAUUGUCCUCCAAAUCCAAAUUGAUUUGAAUAAUUUGAGUGAUUCAGUUUUUCUUUUCUUUUUUAUCUUUGCUUGUCCCUGCUGAGAGGCAGGGGAGGAAGAAGAAUGUCUCUGGAACAAGGGGUGGAGAGCAUUUAAAACCACAAUGUCAGUAAUUAAGUUUACUGGCAUGGCAGUGACAGCAUUCAUGCAAACCCAGUUACUAGGUGAAAACACAACAGAACUGUGUUUAUCGACAAGUAAACUACAAUGACUCGACAGGAGAGCUUCAACAAGGUUUUGCAGCUAAUUUGAUAUCUAACCAAUUUUUUCUAGGUGAAAAAUACAAUUUUGAAAAGCAAAUUGUAAAGUUCAGAAGUGAGAAUUUUCUCAGCUGUCAACAAUUGCUGUUCAUUCUGUGCUGUCAAUCAAACAAUA
Long non-coding RNA from Populus euphratica (Euphrates poplar), 1239 nucleotides. RefSeq lists it as uncharacterized. The record is from RefSeq and is a predicted model, not a curated record. Lineage: Eukaryota; Viridiplantae; Streptophyta; Magnoliopsida; Malpighiales; Salicaceae. The transcript has 2 exons.